GAUUUACUACGGUUUUGUGUGUUUUGGAAGCUUCAGAAAUGACAAUACCCAACAUCACUACACAGCAUGCAAGAGCCAGAUUAAAACACAAACCUACUCCGACUGUGUUUGAAUGAAGAAAGCAUAAACACAGAGGAUGGCUUGAAGGUGCCCAGCAGGAUUUCUGCAUAUCUGCCCCAUUUCCUCUGCAGCAUGACAUCUAUAUCCACCGGCUCAUCGUCUAUGAAGAUCUGCUGCAUGCAGCCGUGGAAGCGAGACAGCUUGGUCACACAGCGAGCCGUGUUAUUGGUUUUAGGACAACCUGCAGCACAACAGACAUGAAAUGAUCUAUUUUCAAUCUGUAUUUCAGCUAUGCAAUUGCAAGGCAAUGAGAGCGUUCUCUUUUUUAUAGAUUAUGACAUUAUAGAUGUGACUAUUUGUGAAUAGAAACAUACACACUUUUGUAAAACUGUCAUUUGCAGCCUGUUUUUGGUGCAGUUUUAGAGAAUUGUGGCACCCAGUAUAUUUCAACUGAAAUCAAAGAACAAACUGGUGUGAUAUCAUUUUAAAUAAACC
This 555-nucleotide long non-coding RNA is filed under the name Danio rerio (zebrafish). RNAcentral's name for it is "si:ch211-250i3.3 (ENSDARG00000098006.3)". The record is from RNAcentral. Lineage: Eukaryota; Metazoa; Chordata; Actinopteri; Cypriniformes; Danionidae.